This 671-nucleotide long non-coding RNA is filed under the name Chinchilla lanigera (long-tailed chinchilla). RNAcentral describes it as "lncRNA (ENSCLAG00000024046.1)". Lineage: Eukaryota; Metazoa; Chordata; Mammalia; Rodentia; Chinchillidae. The record is from RNAcentral.
AUUGUUUCUUGGCUCAAGAAUAGACUGGUCUGAAAUAUGAGUGAAUUUCAGAGCCUGAAGUCACACAAUGCCAGGUCCGGUGACUAGGAGAGUGAGGACAGGCCAUCAUAUUUGCAUGAGCCUACCUUUCGGUUGGAUGACCCUCGGCAGCAGCAUUCAUCAUAUUGUUCACCAAGCCUCACAGAGACAGAAGACACGAGAAAGGACUUCCAGGGUGGCUGUAGGGAGCGGCAAGAAUGACAGGCUCUUACCUCAGGUCGUGCCCCCCUCACAUCCCACCAGUACCAUCAGAGAAGCUCUCUCCGGAGAGCCCUGUGAGCACCUCACGCAAGCUGGACGGAUGUGCACUGCGAGCUGACUGUGCCAAGCAGACCCAGAGAGGAUCAAAGGUGAAGGUCCCUGUCCACCGAAGCCGUUGUCCAGGCGUCCGGUGCAAGGGUCUCUCGGGGAUACGUUGCUGGCACUUAGGGCGGGGUGCGGAACACUGAAACUGCUGUCGGGAAGGGGCUCACCCCUGAGCAGCUGCAUCACCUCCUUGAGAGGGCGUGGCUGGAACCAAGCAAAAUGUGAGCCUCCUCCUCACCUUCUAGGCCAUUCAUUUUUCAUGUCUUUGUAGCAGCUGGAGUUUGCGUCCACACCUAGGAUCUCUCCCUGUCUGCUUCUCUGUCCGU